CUGCAAAAUGCUGUUUUGUUGCAACUUCCAGGAAAAGCAAGUGCUGUUCACACGUUGGCAUGAAAUUCAGUGACACAACCAAAACAUUGAUUAGAAUAGGACGCGUUCUCAGAGAUGGCUUCAGUGCUAAAGCUGUGGCUCCUUCAGCUCAGGUACCCAAGGGCAUGACAAGUGAUCUGGGUCUUUGAAGCCAGGAACUUUCUGGUCAGUAUUUUAAAUGUUAAGUGAGGAUGAUCCAGUACUAAGAAAUCUUUAUGAUGACUCACCAGCAUUUCAGGACACUUCAGUUACACUAAAUGAACUACUCUGCACGUAGAGAGUUUCCAGAGACCAUAUCAAGGGUGAUACUUGAAGAGCAAAUGUUUCAACUUAAAUUGACAAAAUGAUUGCUAUGUUUUGUUAUCUCAGGUUGUAACAAUAUCACACUGUCUGUUAGAGGGUGAUGUUGCUGUUGAAUUUUCUGUGCAGUCUCAGUAGCGAAAGACCACCUGGAGCUUUGGCAAUCAACCCUGUCCUGUGUAAACAUGAAGUGCACAAACUUACUGCUUCUAGGACAGUGCAUCAGUCACGAUGGGUAGACUGAAUGGAGUACAAGCCCUAAUGAAAGAUGAAUUCAACAGGGUACAUUUUGUGCAGUUACGCUCACCAAUUAAACCUUUUCAUGCAGCAGCUAUGCUUCAGGACACACGAAGAACUGAAAGGAUUUUUGCACACUUUUCUGCAUUCUUACAUUUUUUCUGCUUCAAUAAAGCAUAUGGCUGUGCAGCAUGAAGAACUGAAUAGGAGGAUGCUGAGACCAAGUGCAACACAAUGGACUUGCUAGGGAAGGACUGUAAGGACAGUUCAUGAAGACUUGGAAGAAUUAUGGAAAUGCUUCAGGAAGAAUCAGGAUGGAAUUUAGCACCCAGUCAUGAGUUAUUUGGGCGAUUGAUUCUUUUGAAUGCUUCAUCCAGAUCACACAUCUCGACAAGAACAAACCUGUCCAACAGUUCUGCCAGGUAGGAGUUGAAUUAGCCAAAUGAAGAGUCAAAUGAGUGCCAGAGGACUGCAUAGCCAGGAGCAUGGGAAGGGAGAAAGAAACCUCUUUCAACGGUGCAAACUGUCACCUCAGCUCAGAAAUAACAUGCAUCUUUACCCUUAGAAGGAAGAAACCUAUCAACAGAAUUUCAUUGUCUUCUUGGUAACAUCUGUUUCCUUUACCUCUAAUGGGGGUGUGAUGGGGAAGGGGAAGAAACAUCAAAGAAUUCAGCUGUCAGAUUAGAAGACAAAAAUUUUGCAUUU
This is a long non-coding RNA of Rhea pennata, 1281 nucleotides long. RefSeq lists it as uncharacterized. The transcript is spliced from 3 exons. Lineage: Eukaryota; Metazoa; Chordata; Aves; Rheiformes; Rheidae. The record is from RefSeq and is a predicted model, not a curated record.